CAUACCUAUUCGAAGGGAUAGGGUCGGCUCGGCCGGAUUUUACACAAGUGUUGCAUGGCUGUCGUCAGCUCGUGUCGUGAGAUGUUGGGUUAAGUCCCGCAACGAGCGCAACCCUCAUCCUUAGUUGCCAUCAGGUAAUGCUGAGUACUUUAAGGAAACUGCCAGUGAUAAGCUGGAGGAAGGUGGGGAUGAUGUCAAGUCAUCAUGGCCUUUAUGGAGUGGGCUACACACGUGCUACAAUGGUGUCUACAAUGGGUUGCAAGGUGCGCAAGCCUAAGCUAAUCCCUAAAAGACAUCUCAGUUCGGAUUGUACUCUGCAACUCGAGAGCAUGAAGUUGGAAUCGCUAGUAAUCGUGGACCAGCAUGCCACGGUGAAUACGUUCUCGGGUCUUGUACACACUGCCCGUCACGCCAUGGGAAUUGGUUUCACUCGAAGCU
RNAcentral lists this ribosomal RNA (438 nucleotides) under Wolbachia endosymbiont of Clethrobius dryobius. Its description in RNAcentral is "bacterial SSU rRNA". It matches the Rfam family "Bacterial small subunit ribosomal RNA", at positions 992 to 1428 of the family's 1533-position model. Lineage: Bacteria; Pseudomonadati; Pseudomonadota; Alphaproteobacteria; Rickettsiales; Anaplasmataceae. The record is from RNAcentral.